This 209-nucleotide unclassified non-coding RNA is filed under the name Hevea brasiliensis (rubber tree). Lineage: Eukaryota; Viridiplantae; Streptophyta; Magnoliopsida; Malpighiales; Euphorbiaceae. The record is from RNAcentral.
GCUUUCAUAUUUGAUAGAAAUUUUAAUAUUGAAGUUCACAAUCUGUCGUAUCGGGUAGAAUAUUUGACUUGAAUGUAGCUUGCCUUUUUUCUUUCCACUGCGGUGGCCUAUGAUAAUCGUAUCGUAGUGCAACCUCUCCGUUCUUUAUGGUUAGCCAUUUUAAGGCCGGAGACAUCUGAUUAAUAAAUGUUAGAAGAAGCUACGGUCUU